Molecule: ribosomal RNA, 871 nt
Filed under: uncultured Achromobacter sp.
Lineage: Bacteria; Pseudomonadati; Pseudomonadota; Betaproteobacteria; Burkholderiales; Alcaligenaceae
Description: bacterial SSU rRNA
Rfam family: Bacterial small subunit ribosomal RNA
Source: RNAcentral
AUUGAACGCUAGCGGGAUGCCUUACACAUGCAAGUCGAACGGCAGCACGGACUUCGGUCUGGUGGCGAGUGGCGAACGGGUGAGUAAUGUAUCGGAACGUGCCCAGUAGCGGGGGAUAACUACGCGAAAGCGUAGCUAAUACCGCAUACGCCCUACGGGGGAAAGCAGGGGAUCGCAAGACCUUGCACUAUUGGAGCGGCCGAUAUCGGAUUAGCUAGUUGGUGGGGUAACGGCUCACCAAGGCGACGAUCCGCAGCUGGUUUGAGAGGACGACCAGCCACACUGGGACUGAGACACGGCCCAGACUCCUACGGGAGGCAGCAGUGGGGAAUUUUGGACAAUGGGGGAAACCCUGAUCCAGCCAUCCCGCGUGUGCGAUGAAGGCCUUCGGGCUGUAAAGCACUUUUGGCAGGAAAGAAACGUCGUGGGUUAAUACCCCGCGAAACUGACGGUACCUGCAGAAUAAGCACCGGCUAACUACGUGCCAGCAGCCGCGGUAAUACGUAGGGUGCAAGCGUUAAUCGGAAUUACUGGGCGUAAAGCGUGCGCAGGCGGUUCGGAAAGAAAGAUGCGAAAUCCCAGAGCUUAACUUUGGAACUGCAUUUUUAACUACCGGGCUAGAGUGUGUCAGAGGGAGGUGGAAUUCCGCGUGUAGCAGUGAAAUGCGUAGAUAUGCGGAGGAACACCGAUGGCGAAGGCAGCCUCCUGGGAUAACACUGACGCUCAUGCACGAAAGCGUGGGGAGCAAACAGGAUUAGAUANCCUGGUAGUCCACGCCCUAAACGAUGUCAACUAGCUGUUGGGGCCUUCGGGCCUUGGUAGCGCAGCUAACGCGUGAAGUUGACCGCCUGGGGAGUAUGGUCGCAAGAUU